AGUGAACGCUGGCGGUAGGCCUAACACAUGCAAGUCGAACGGCAGCACAGGAGAGCUUGCUCUCUGGGUGGCGAGUGGCGGACGGGUGAGGAAUGCAUCGGAAUCUACUCUUUCGUGGAGGAUAACGUAGGGAAACUUACGCUAAUACCGCAUACGACCUACGGGUGAAAGCCGGGGACCUUCGGGCCUGGCGCGAAAGAAUGAGCCGAUGCCCGAUUAGCUAGUUGGCGGGGUAAGAGCCCACCAAGGCGACGAUCGGUAGCUGGUCUGAGAGGAUGAUCAGCCACACUGGAACUGAGACACGGUCCAGACUCCUACGGGAGGCAGCAGUGGGGAAUAUUGGACAAUGGGCGCAAGCCUGAUCCAGCCAUACCGCGUGGGUGAAGAAGGCCUUCGGGUUGUAAAGCCCUUUUGUUGGGAAAGAAAAGCAGUCGGUUAAUACCCGAUUGUUUCUGACGGUACCCAAAGAAUAAGCACCGGCUA
RNAcentral lists this ribosomal RNA (483 nucleotides) under Xanthomonas sp. oral taxon 037. Its description in RNAcentral is "bacterial SSU rRNA". It matches the Rfam family "Bacterial small subunit ribosomal RNA", at positions 29 to 499 of the family's 1533-position model. The record is from RNAcentral. Lineage: Bacteria; Pseudomonadati; Pseudomonadota; Gammaproteobacteria; Lysobacterales; Lysobacteraceae.